This 301-nucleotide ribosomal RNA is filed under the name uncultured bacterium. RNAcentral describes it as "partial 16S ribosomal RNA". It matches the Rfam family "Bacterial small subunit ribosomal RNA", at positions 509 to 807 of the family's 1533-position model. The record is from RNAcentral.
CAGUCGCCGCGGGAAUACGUAGGUGGCAAGCGCUGUCCGGAAUUAUUGGGCGUAAAGGGCUCGCAGGCGGUUUCUUAAGUCUGAUGUGGAAGCCCCCGGCUCAACCGGGGAGGGUCAUUGGAAACUGGGAAACUUGAGUGCAGAAGAGGAGAGUGGAAUUCCACGUGUAGCGGUGAAAUGCGUAGAGAUGUGGAGGAACACCAGUGGCGAAGGCGACUCUCUGGUCUGUAACUGACGCUGAGGAGCGAAAGCGUGGGGAGCGAACAGGAUUAGAUACCCCCGUAGUCCCUGUCUCUUAUAC